Molecule: long non-coding RNA, 1051 nt
Filed under: Pan troglodytes (chimpanzee)
Lineage: Eukaryota; Metazoa; Chordata; Mammalia; Primates; Hominidae
Description: lincRNA
Source: RNAcentral
UGACAACUGACGGCACUGGAGCAGAGAGGCUGACUCUGCCCGAGGAGACCAGGGAGGCUUGGACCCCAGGCUGGAGGGGGCCGGGGACCCAGACCCACUCACUUGAUUUGGAAGGACACGGGGCUGUCAAACCUAUGCAGGGUCAUCACACCCGGCCCUUCGUUUGUCCCUUUUCGGCCAAGCUCAGGACCCCGUAACCCAGGAAGACAAGCUCGUGGUUCUGAGAUGACCCAGGGAAUUGCCCAAUCCCACCCGACACCCUUGUUCCUUCCUCUGGUCAUUGACGCUCCUCCCAGAUGGCUUCGAGAGCCCCGCAGAUCCUUCCACUACUCCCCAGCCUAGAAGAUCCAGGGACAGAAGCCCUCGAGGUUCUGGCUGGGCCCAUGUGCUGAGAUGCCUCUGAGAAAGCCGUCUGGAUUGGAUCGUCCAUUUGUCCACAGGAUGGCACAGCAGAUGCAACCGUGGGCCUGCGGCCUGGGGUUCCUGGUUGGUGGCCAGGAGAGGCGGCCAGAAGACUCCAUGGCUCCCAGGGCCCGGUCGCAGCUGAGAGGCUCCCCGUCACGACGGCCAAUAGCCCUUUCUCCAGGGACAAGGAUGGGAUGCUACAUGCCGCUCCUGACGCCGUGGCACGGAAUCACGCCACGCGUCCCUUGUUUCCGGAUUUCUCUUCUGUGGCUUAUUGAUGGCACUCAAGCACCGCACAGCAAUGACGUCUGUCCUGGCAGGGCACACGCACUCUGCGUCUGAACGAGUAUUGAGCUAAUUCCAAAGCCCAGCAGAGACGUGGGCGCGCGUUUAUCUGGAGGAGACCAGGCGCGCCGUGGUUGGCUCUGGCCGUGGGACCCUGGGCUGAGCACCGACCCAGGCCACCCCAAGUCACCAAAAGAGGGUAGGGAGGGAUGGACAAAAGUAUUUAUUUUGCCUAUUUUCUUGCCAGUGUCCAGAUUCAAAUGUACUGUUUUUAAACUACAUUAGCACUUUCUGCCCUGUGGCCCGCAAUGAUUGUGCUGUGAUUAUUAAACACCAUAAAUAAGAAUGCAGCAUUUCCCCA